This 276-nucleotide long non-coding RNA is filed under the name Sus scrofa (pig). Its description in RNAcentral is "lncRNA (ENSSSCG00055016364.1, ENSSSCG00065037199.1, ENSSSCG00070017619.1)". The record is from RNAcentral. Lineage: Eukaryota; Metazoa; Chordata; Mammalia; Artiodactyla; Suidae.
CAGUGAUUGCAGCAAAAUUCUUAUCCUUCUCUGCAAGAAUCUUCUCCAGGAAGAAAGGACAAGCCAUGCAAACACCCAGUGAGGUGUGGCUGAAAAAGAAAUAAAAAAGUUUUUAAUGGCAAGGACCAUGUUCAGGAUAAAAGGAAAGAACAGAAGAACAGAACAAUAAGCCUCUCUGCUGGUGGCUUCCUCAACACAAGGAAAAGCCAGACCAAAUCAAGGACCCCCAUUAGGGGUUCAGCCAAAGAAAAACCCCUGUCAGAAGCUCUUAAAGCA